GACGAACGCUGGCGGCGUGCUUAAUACAUGCAAGUCGAACGGACAGGCCACUUUGGUGGUACUCGAGUGGUGGCCGGGUGCGUAACACGUGAGUAACCUGCACUUGACUUCGAGAUAACUUCAGGAUACUGGAGCUAAUACCGAAUCGGAAUAAUAUCUGCAUGGUGGGGGUUGGAAAGCUUCGGCCGGUUUGGCUGGACUCGCGGGUUAUCUGCUUGUUGGUGGGGUAGUGGCUUACCAAGGCGUUGUCGGGAAGCCAGACUGAGUGGGCGACCGGCCACAUUGGCACUGAGGGGCGGCCCAGGUUGCGACGGGAGGCAGCAGUGGGGAAUACUGCACGAUGGGCGGAAGGCGGAUGCAGCAGCGCCGCGUGCGGGAUGACUGCCUUCGGGGUGAAAACCGAAUGCAUCAGGGGCGAAGCAUGUGGUGACGGUACCUGCAGAGGAAGCAACGGCUAACUACGUG
This 465-nucleotide ribosomal RNA is filed under the name uncultured bacterium. RNAcentral describes it as "partial 16S ribosomal RNA". It matches the Rfam family "Bacterial small subunit ribosomal RNA", at positions 28 to 507 of the family's 1533-position model. The record is from RNAcentral.